Molecule: ribosomal RNA, 637 nt
Filed under: Microsepsis mitis
Lineage: Eukaryota; Metazoa; Arthropoda; Insecta; Diptera; Sepsidae
Description: partial 12S ribosomal RNA
Rfam family: tRNA (bases 413-484)
Source: RNAcentral
AGUAGUAAUAGUUAUGUUCUUGAAACUUAAAAAAUUUGGCGGUAUUUUAGUCUAUUCAGAGGAACCUGUCCUAUAAUCGAUAAUCCACGUUGGACCUUACUUAAAUUGGUUAAUCAGUUUGUAUACCGUCGUUAUAAGAAUAUUUUAUUAGAAUAAUAAUUUUCUAUAAUUUUUAUAAAAAUUUAUAUCAGAUCAAGGUGCAGCUUAUGUUUAAGUAGAGAUGGGUUACAAUAAAAUAAUUUAUAUGAAUAAAUAUUUGAAAUAGUAUUUUGAAGGUGGAUUUGAAUGUAAAAUUAUAAAGAUUAAUAAUUUGAUUUUAGCUCUAAAAUAUGUACAUAUCGCCCGUCACUCUUAUUAUUAAGGUAAGAUAAGUCGUAACAUAGUAGAUGUACUGGAAAGUGUAUCUAGAAUGCAAUUUAAAGCUUAAAUAGUAAAGCAUUUCAUUUACAUUGAAAAGAUUUUUGUGCAAAUCAAUAUAAGUUGAUUAAUUUUUAUUUAUUAAUUUAUUUAUUUAUUUUUAGUUUAUUUUAGAAAUAACUGUUUAAUAAAAUGUUUUAGUAUUUUAUAAAGAAUAAAUAAUAUUUAUAAUAGUAUAUUAGUAUUGUGAAAGAAAAUUGAAAUAAUUUGAAAAAUUUUU